UCGAGCAUCGGAUAGGCAGAGGGAGUGCCUUGGUCGGGGGACAACGAGGCUCGCCGGCUGGGUGACUCCGAGCGCUGGAGGCUAGACAGGCACAGGCAGGGGUGGAUCCAUGUGGGGGCAUGGGUGCCGUCGCGCCAUCGAAGGCCUCCACGGCGCCCUCUAUCAGGUCACCUCUCUCUCCACGAACUCCUUUUUACCCACGUUUUUACCACUCUCCAAGCUCGCACUAUUGCUCUGGAAAAUUCCCUUUGGAAUUGGGGAUGAAGCAAUCGAUUUCGAUUGAUUGGCGCCGUGCAGACGACGGGCGUGGGACGCCGCGGGAGGCGUGCCGCGUUCGAGAGCCACUGUGGAUUAUCUUCGAGGUGUCAGGCGACAUUCGCCUCGAGACCUACCUCCGGGUCUCUUCCCAUAUGCAUUGACGGGCGCGGGUAGCGGGUCAGGCUCACCGGCAAGGCGCCGGUAUAUUUCUUAAUCUGCUCGUUAUGGUUCUCCAAAUAUUUUUAGAGAAUAAAACUGGCUGAAGAUGGUGCGUGCAGCUUGCCUCUGAACUUGUGAUGUCCGGCCAUUGCAUCUGGGAGGAGCUCCUCUUCAGGAAGAAUGCCGAGACGUACGCCACUGCUGCGACUGCCGUUCUCGUCCACGUUUUGACUACACUUGCAGGUUGGCUCUCUACUUCAGUUGCUCGCAGCUAGCAACUCUGAACGCACUUCAUCCCGUGUUAAUUAACUUUCAGAAUUGUGCUGCUUUGUUUAUAAAUGAUGUUGGCCAUACUAUAUGUCUUCGUGUGAAGUGAUUCUUCAUUGCCUUUGCAGAGUAGCAUUGAUGUUCUUUAGAAGUACCCUGUGGCCGAGUGUGACAUUUGUUUUAUCAAAUUCUAAUGUGAUUUUCACUUCAAUCAAUUAGCAAUAGGUAACACUUGAUAUUGACACUAUUAUCUGCAGAAUUAUUUUUGUAAGAUACUUAUGUGAUUGCCAACAAGUUUCUGAAGAUGACCGUGCUCGUGAUUAAUUGUUUGCUCAUAAACCUAAUCAUCUAUAUGCACCUGAUCAGGGUUAGAUGAAAUUCAAAGAGUAUAAUUCUUGUGGUUAAUCGUUUUCUCGUAAACAGGCAACUGCGAAGGCAAAAUCUACAUGUGAGAAGUGCAGAUGAGCCCCGCUGUGCUAAUUACCUGGUGAGUUCAACUAAGCAAGUUCAGCUAUUCCCAGUUUAUCCUCUACAUGUGGUGGUGGUGCUAGCUACUAACUUCUAUGUUCCUGCAUGUACACUCUCAUAAUUUUGUGGCUGAGUAGUCCGCAACGCAAAUCUUAUGCUCUCUCAUAUUCCCUUGUAAACUGCCUAAACAUUGAUGAUUGUAAUCCAGCUGUUGAUUAAUGACUGAAUCCCCUGAUCUGAUCCAUAAAAAAAAGACAUGACGCCACCUUAUUUCUUGAAAAUGUACAUGCCUAUCUAGAUUUUUCUAGAACAAGUUUUUUUUUACUCGUAUGUCUAGGUUGUGAGUUGUGACUGAGUGUGAUUUGAAUAAUUAUUGUGUACAAUUUUAGAUUUAUAUAUUUGUUCUUUGACAUAUGAGAGUUACAUUGUGUGAGUAAUUAGGUCAUAGAACAAUGAUUUGAUUUAUCUUCUGCCAGUAAGCAUUGUCCUGUAACAAACAUUCAGUAAUGGCAUAAUCGGAUCACAUGCUGUAGAUGAAUGCCUAAAGUGUACAUAUGAUUUUUUUUUACCGAAAGCAAUACUGUCUAGCUUUUUGAGAAAGCUAAAAGUCUAAUUACAAAAACAAGCAAAGAUGAGGCUGGGUGUCGAAAUAGUACAGAUCCUGCAGAAGUUCAAAUUUGUACUAUGAGGGUAUUUGCGUGUAGCAAAGUAGGGCGAUCAUUGCAUGGUAUGCCUUCAGUCCUCGGUAGUCAGCUAAUGUACAUAGUAUCCUUAAAGUUUCUUCAAGUUGAGGAAUGAUCAAACUUAAUAGCAGACAUCCAUCGUGAUAAGCUAUUAUUAUAUUUCACUUAUUUGCCGACUUAAUACAGCUACACUGUUGAUCUUUACUCCGAUUUAUCUUGUAAUAACUCCUAACACUCACUUCCUAACACUCACUUAUUUGCCGGCUUGAUACAGCUACACUGUUGAUCUUUACUCCCAUUAAAAAGUCAAUUGGUGGCGGCAGUCUGUCCACUUUCGUUACAAUACAUUUAUAUUUGGCACAAACUAUUAAGAUGAAAGCGGAUAUGGAUAUUUUGAUUUUGCAUAAACUGCGGAAAGAUCUUAAAACACAGUUUUAAAAUUCCAUUUUAAUGAAUGAGUAUUGUGCUUGUAUGGGUGGCAUCAUACUGUAUUUCACAGUGCUGAAAAUCAAAUGUACAUUGUUUUCACAUAAUCACAUUGUAUUCAAACAAUCUGUGUGAUAUGUGUCAUUGUCAUCCUUUGCAGUAUUCUGAAUUGGCUGCUGAAGUACAUAAGUGAAGUCUACUGGUGAAGGAGAUGUGAAGAAUGAUAUAGAGCAAGUAGAUAAAAACCGCAGUUGUUGGGCCCAAGGUAGGCUCCUUCACUCAGAGUAUAUGUUGGACGGUUUCUUGUUCGACAUCAAUUUCUGGUUGGAGAUUGAGCUGCAUUCCAGUUUGAUUAUGUGAUUAUAUCAAAUUUGUGCAUAUUAACUGAAAUGUGUAAUGCUACAAAGUAGAUAGGUUUUCCUAGCAUUUUACCACGGGGCGUCUCUUUUCUUUGUUUUCUGCCCCUUGUCUUGUACAUUCUCCAUUUAAUGACAUAUGGAUGGCUAACCAACCAAUUUUGUAUGUUUAUAACAGUUUUACAUGAGUAUUCCUACACAUAGAUGAAUACCCUCCUGGUGCUAAUCAAGGAUUUGAUAUUCUGUUAGCUUUGGUUAAGUUGCCUGAGUUAAUGCCUACAUGAGGAGCUGAACAAAAAUGCGAUGGGGGAUCCCAUCUUAGAAUUGUUUUCCCUUUUCUCCCAAUAGCUUUCAUUUUGCAGUAUAUUAGCUAAUUCUGCGUAGGAUGAUUACAUAUGCAACAUUUGUAAAGGAGUAGACUUGUUAAAAGUUUCAAUUAAUAUCAUAUGAUGCCUGCUGGAUUAUUUUCUUGUCAAACUGAAAUUUAAAUGUCCCAAUACUAUGUUCUAUUCCAAUUUCAAACUAAUUUCCUUGUUGUGGGUUGCAUACACGAACUGUAAUGCAUUUCA
Molecule: long non-coding RNA, 3186 nt
Filed under: Triticum aestivum (bread wheat)
Lineage: Eukaryota; Viridiplantae; Streptophyta; Magnoliopsida; Poales; Poaceae
Description: long non-coding RNA (TAES_LNC005874)
Source: RNAcentral